AACGAACGCUGGCGGCACGCCUAACACAUGCAAGUCGAGCGCUACCUUCGGGUGGAGCGGCGGACGGGUUAGUAACGCGUGGGAACAUACCCUUUACUAAGGAAUAGCCACUGGAAACGGUGAGUAAUACCUUAUACGCCCUUCGGGGGAAAGAUUUAUCGGUAAAGGAUUGGCCCGCGUUAGAUUAGAUAGUUGGUGGGGUAACGGCCUACCAAGUCGACGAUCUAUUGCUGGUUUGAGAGGAUGAUCAGCAACACUGGGACUGAGACACGGCCCAGACUCCUACGGGAGGCAGCAGUGGGGAAUCUUAGACAAUGGGCGCAAGCCUGAUCUAGCGAUGCCGCGUGAGUGAUGAAGGCCUUAGGGUCGUAAAGCUCUUACACCAGGGAUGAUAAUGACAGUACCUGGAAAAGAAACCCCGGCUAACUCCGUGCCAGCAGCCGCGGUAAUACGGAGGGGGUUAGCGUUGUUCGGAAUUACUGGGCGUAAAGCGUACGUAGGCGGACUAGUAAGUUAGGGGUGAAAUCCCGGGGCUCAACCCCGGAACUGCCUUUAAUACUGCUAGUCUUGAGUUCGAGAGAGGUGAGUGGAAUUCCGAGUGUAGAGGUGAAAUUCGUAGAUAUUCGGAGGAACACCAGUGGCGAAGGCGGCUCACUGGCUCGAUACUGACGCUGAGGUACGAAAGUGUGGGGAGCAAACAGGAUUAGAUACCCUGGUAGUCCACACCGUAAACGAUGAAUGCCAGUCGUCGGGUAGCAUGCUAUUCGGUGACACACCUAACGGAUUAAGCAUUCCGCCUG
This 800-nucleotide ribosomal RNA is filed under the name uncultured Alphaproteobacteria bacterium. RNAcentral describes it as "bacterial SSU rRNA". It matches the Rfam family "Bacterial small subunit ribosomal RNA", at positions 28 to 875 of the family's 1533-position model. The record is from RNAcentral. Lineage: Bacteria; Pseudomonadati; Pseudomonadota; Alphaproteobacteria.